GACGAACGCUGGCGGCGUGCUUAACACAUGCAAGUCGAACGGAAAGGCCCGGCGCUUGUGGGGUGCUCGAGUGGCGAACGGGGGAGUAACACGUGAGUAACCUGCCCUUGACUGUGGGAUAACAUCAGGAAACUGGGGCUAAUACCGGAGAGGAGCUCCUGCUGCACGGGGGGGGUUGGAAAGAUUCGGCGGUGGGGGAUGGUCUCGCGGCUUAUGAGCUUGUUUGGGGAGUAGUGGCGUCCCACGGCUUUGACGGGUAGCCGGCCUGGGAGGGUGACCGGGCUCCUUGCGCCUACGGUAGGCAGCAGUCUCCUACCUGCCGCAAUAGUCGAGAGCCUUACGCAGCGAGCCCACGUCUGUUACGACGGUCUCGCGUGCGGGAUGCCCUCCUUCGGGUUGUAAACAGAUUUCGCCUGUGCCGAGGCCUGCGUGACGGUACUUAGUCAGGAAGCCCCGGCUAACUACGUG
This 468-nucleotide ribosomal RNA is filed under the name uncultured bacterium. RNAcentral describes it as "partial 16S ribosomal RNA". It matches the Rfam family "Bacterial small subunit ribosomal RNA", at positions 28 to 507 of the family's 1533-position model. The record is from RNAcentral.